AACGAACGCUGGCGGCAGGCUUAACACAUGCAAGUCGAACGCACCUUUCGGGGUGAGUGGCAGACGGGUGAGUAACGCGUGGGAAUCUACCCUUCUCUACGGGAUAGCUCCGGGAAACUGGAAUUAAUACCGUAUACGUCCUGAGGGAGAAAGAUUUAUCGGGGAAGGAUGAGCCCGCGUUGGAUUAGCUAGUUGGUGGGGUAAAGGCCUACCAAGGCGACGAUCCAUAGCUGGUCUAAGAGGAUGAUCAGCCACAUUGGGACUGAGACACGGCCCAAACUCCUACGAGAGGCAGCAGUGGGGAAUAUUGGACAAUGGGCGCAAGCCUGAUCCAGCCAUGCCGCGUGAGUGAUGAAGGCCCUAGGGUUGUAAAGCUCUUUCAGUGGGGACGAUAAUGACGGUACCCACAGAAGAAGCCCCGGCUAACUUCGUG
RNAcentral lists this ribosomal RNA (433 nucleotides) under uncultured bacterium. RNAcentral describes it as "partial 16S ribosomal RNA". It matches the Rfam family "Bacterial small subunit ribosomal RNA", at positions 29 to 507 of the family's 1533-position model. The record is from RNAcentral.